AAAGCAGUUUCAGAGUUUAGCUAAGGAUUUUCCCCUGUAGUUUAUGUAUGUUACACUUGCAGAGGACGAGGACUGAUCCCUGAUUGGUCCUAAUCCUUUAUAUCUGACUUCUGUGUGGGUCCUGGACAGCAGGGGGGUGAAUGGAUAAUAAUUACCUGUAUUCAUAGUAGAAUAGGGUGUCUGACAGUGUUUCCUUUAUUGUUACUAGUCUAUGUAAUUAUGAUGGUCAUGUGACUGGGACUGUGUACCUUUUAGGAGUUGCCCAGACUAGCCAACAAGUCGACUUUACUGCUCUGCGAAAACUCUAAGCUUAACGUCGACUAGUCACUAAACACGUGAUUAUAUAUAACAGUAACUACAUUAAUGGCACAGAGAACACCAGGUAUGCGGAAGUGCGGGGAAAAGAGAUGGAAGCAGUGGAGCAAAAACUGAGCUCCUCAGUAUCAGUUUAGUCAUGUGUAUGUUAACAGAGGGUCAGCGUUACAAUGAAAGGCGUUGGACGAGAAAACGAAUAAGAAAACGAGUCCUUCAGCAUUGGAGAAAAUGAAGACGUUCCCUAACUUAUGGAUGUGUAUGUUUAGCUGGGGGGUGACGGGAGCCUCCAUACCGUACUGUAAUUCAGCCUAUCCGCAAGCUCUCAAUUGUGCACCUGUAGAAAAUGUACAGGUUAGUUAUAUUUAAUUCAUUAAUAGGUACCGUUUGUGCUUGUUUCUCUACAUUUUGGCAUAGGCAAAUUCUAUAAAUAACCAAUAUAUAUUUUUGUAUAAUAUUACUGGUGUUGGUGGUGAAACUUUUAUUUUUUACAUUACAUUACAUGCUAAUUAAGUGUUUCGAGCUACUAAAGUUCCCAGUCGAGAUGGACCAGGAAGUCAGAAAUGGAACUAUGUCUCCUUUAUAAGUACUUUACAGUAACAAAAUAGCCAUGAAACAUUCAUAUUAUCUGCAGAUUUUGGGCUUUAUGUUUCGAGGAAACCGGAACGACCGACAACUAGACUUCAUACGGAAAUGUGUAUCUAAGCUGCAUUUGCAGUUAUUUUUAGCGCUUGGUGAAAUCCAAGGUAAUAAUUUUAUUUUUUGUAUUGGGCCUAUCUGAGAAAUAACUAACAUUCAGCAUUUGUUUUGUUUUUAUUGAAUGGAAAUAUGUACCAAUGUUUAUUGCAUGUGAUGUAAGUUGGAUAUGUCCGUAGGCCUGCUGAAAAGUCUAAGUAUUGUUACAAUCCAGUAUUACUUACGGCACAUAACAGUAUAGGGACCAACACGUGUGCACCCACAUAUACAGUGACCACCAGAGGUGCAUGAAGUGGUCAUCGGACCCUGGGCUGCCUUUUCUGUGCCCCCCCUUUAUGUUUUAGCAGUUUUACUGAGGCAAAAUCACAACAUCUGGUCCCCCCCAUCCUGGGUUGUUCCCCGCCUCGUGCCCGUAGUUUCCGGGAUAGGCUCUGGACCCCGCAUGACCCAGAAGGAUAAGUGGUUUGGAAAAUGGAUGGAUGGAAAAUCACAUCCUUACAGAGCAACAACUGAACUCGAAAUACAUAAUUAUGCAUGUUUACAAAGCAGCAAUUGAACUACCAAACAGUCGCACAACUUCCUUACAGUAACAACUGAACCAACAAAUAUGUGAAUAAAAUACCAUAAGUCCCUGUUUUGAAAGAGCCCCCCCACUGGCAUUGAUUACAGGCACAGUCAUAAACAGUCACAGUGCUAUAUCAACAUUUGGAGACACUGACUGUAGUUUCCUUCCCUUAAAUUGUAGCAGUGACCUUGCUGAGGUGUCCUGGAUUUCUUUGGACAAUUUAGAGAAUUUAUUAAUUUCAUCCACAAACCUGCCUCCAGAUUUUUUGGAGACUUGCCGUACUCAAAGAUCUUGUAGUUGUUAGCUUCUGCUUGGAAUCAUCACUCAACUUUAGCAGAAACUCCUGAAUUUUCACAGUUUCGCUGUAGUGCUUUCAUUGUUAGUGCGUGUGCCGACCAUCUAGUACCAUGGAGACUUUUCAUAGAGACUUUUCAUAAAGUCUGUAUCCUCUGGUUGUCAUUAUGCCCUAAACCCAGUGCAACUGUCUGCCAAUGGAGGUGGAUUUGGAAGAAAAAUCAA
This is a long non-coding RNA of Brienomyrus brachyistius, 2092 nucleotides long. RefSeq lists it as uncharacterized. The record is from RefSeq and is a predicted model, not a curated record. Lineage: Eukaryota; Metazoa; Chordata; Actinopteri; Osteoglossiformes; Mormyridae. The transcript has 2 exons.